CGACGUGGGUAACCUGCCUCAUACAGGGGGAUAGCAGCUGGAAACGGCUGAUAAAACCGCAUAAGCGCACAGCAUCGCAUGAUGCAGUGUGAAAAACUCCGGUGGUAUGAGAUGGACCCGCGUCUGAUUAGCUUGUUGGUGAGGUAACGGCCCACCAAGGCGACGAUCAGUAGCCGGCCUGAGAGGGUGACCGGCCACAUUGGGACUGAGACACGGCCCAA
RNAcentral lists this ribosomal RNA (221 nucleotides) under uncultured bacterium. Its description in RNAcentral is "partial 16S ribosomal RNA". It matches the Rfam family "Bacterial small subunit ribosomal RNA", at positions 113 to 334 of the family's 1533-position model. The record is from RNAcentral.